Molecule: small RNA, 2704 nt
Filed under: Rattus norvegicus (Norway rat)
Lineage: Eukaryota; Metazoa; Chordata; Mammalia; Rodentia; Muridae
Description: uncharacterized LOC108349100
Source: RNAcentral
CUGGGGGUGGCUGGGGGUGGCGGCGGUGCCUGCUGCUGCCGGGCUGCGGCUGAGAUCAUUCUGUUGAUCUCGUUUUACACAGCGCAGCCCGGCACAGGCUGAGUACAGAAUGUUCUCUUCUGUGAACCAAGCUUGAACUCUUCCAGCCCACUUUGUUUGAGGAACCACACAGACACAGAGGGAAAAGACAGGGCAGAUAACCCCCCAAAUCGUUGAAAUCACGGUGUUCUUUGGGAUUUGGGCUUAGGCCAUUUGCUUUUCACUGCCUAAUGUGAAAAAAAAAAUUUUUUUUUUUCAAACCUUGCUUUCCCGGAAGAGUGAAACGCCUGUAGUGUCCUUCCUCUUAGACAGGACUUGGCACCAACUUUGGAAAUUAUAAAGUCUGUCACUGUCUCUCUUUUAAUUUAUUUUUCUCCUCUUAGGCAUUCAAAGAACAACAGUGAAAGUUGGUUUCCUAUAAAGGAAAGAUGAGGUCCCUGGCGCUUGGGACUUCUCCCUGGGUUGUUGACGCUGUCAUGAUAUUAUAAAUUGCGUUCUUGGAUUUGUUGCUACGGCUGGGAGAUGUAUGUAAUGGGGAAGGCUUUGGGCCAGUGGCUUCUAUACAAAUGAGCAAUGAGAAGAGCCCCGAGUGUGGAAGGUGGCUCCUGUUCCUCUUCCGAACCAUAGUCACCUCGUUUCAGGGUCAAGUGUGCCAUUUGAAGUCACAAAUGGCUUGCGGGCUAUAGGAUGAUCUCAGAGUGAAACUUCUGUUCAUCAUGGUGGUUUCCCAACUCACUAAGAAUAAUAAUAAUAGUAAUGAUGAUGAUGAUGAUGAUGAUGAUGAUGAUGACGACGACGACGACGAUGAUGAUGACGACGACGAUGAUGCAUUUGAAGAGAGGAGAUUCUACUGUGUCACCCAAUCUGCUUAAACGUCCAGACUCAUGCAGUCUUCCCCUCUCACUCCAGCAGAUGAGAAAUACCAAAGCCAGGAGCAACAACUCACCCAUGAUCGCUUAACCAGUCAGCCUGUCAACUGGUUUACAGAGUGAAGACACUCAAUGGACAUUGCCGGGGAAGAUGUUUUCAACAGUCGCACUGGUGAGGUGUAUCGGCCUUGGUCCACUUGGGACCCCAGCCCAUCUCUAUCACUGUGUCUCUCAGAGUGAAGCCUGUUGAACACCCCCACUGAUUUGGUGCCUCCCUGCACCAGGUUACACAGCACAGCACAGCAGUCCUUUUGAGUGCGCCUGGACAGGGCAGAAUCAUCUUCCAAUGGUAAUUUCACUGAGCUGGGAGGUACUGUGUUUGGCCUCGCUUUGGCUUUAACUUGCUGAUUGGGCCUUGGAAUGAUUCCAAGCCCUGGAGGGAUGCCCAGAAGGAUAGAGCCACUGCAACAUCUGCAGUGUAGGCUGACCUUUCUCACAGUGACCCAGAGCCACCCUUGUACCAGAAAUUCUCCUGGGCCAUGUGGGAAGAUGGCGUGUCCUCUGUUAAGGACUCUACUGGUGGGCUUCUGUUUGGGGAUCUUCUGAUUGGAUACUCUAGAAAUGAAGACAGAGGCUAUAGGCUCAGGCAGCAAGGCCUUCUCCAUGGCCUGUUAUAUGACUGUACUGGCCUGGUGUUUUCCAUGGCCUGUUAUAUGACUGUACUGGCCUGGUGUUUUCACUCCAUCUUUAUUCAUUCCUGCUGAGGAGCCCCUCAUCUGGACUUUGCCAGAAGGAGGCUGGACUCCAACACUCCCCUCCAGAUUAUGCAUAGCUAUGGUACCGAUUUUGCUAAAGACCCCAUUCUAUCCAUUUACAAGCUAUCAACGGAGUAGGAGCUGGGCUCAGUAGUAGACAGAUUGCAUAGCAUUUGUGAGUUUCUGGCUUCUCUCCCCAGCCCUGUAAAACAGAAUGAGAUGAGUCACCUGCGGCUCCUAUUGUCUAUGGAGUAGUCUGUGCAACUCCAGCCUUUGCCGAAGGUAUAAAACCACGAAUUAUCUCUCACUUCUCUGAGGACAGGCUUAGGCACUGGGAAGAAGGGAAGGACAGUGUUGGGGGACACGUCUUUGGCUGUUUGCUGUACAAUGUAGAUUUUGGCUCUUGGGCGAACCUGCCUCUGAGUGUCUUAUAUAGAAGGGCUUUCUCUUCUCAUCAGGUCCUAUGGUAUAGGACUAUACAAAUUGCCACAUCCUUAUUAGCUGAGCUGUGCAGGCUUGCCAAACACCACCGCAGCUGGCCUUCUUGACAGCUGACCUUCCCUCAUUUGUAUCCACCCACACCUUCCCAAAAGUUAUAUGCAAAUCUGCCCCAACAGCAACUGACCUCUGGGAGGACCAGAAGAGGGGGCUCCAUCUACACAGGUAGCAUUCGUGUUAGGUGCAGACCUGUGCUCCUCCCAGCAACCUGCCACCCAUUACUGGGUUCCCCCGGGUGAACUUUUGGGGAAUCGCACCUCUGUUUGCUGCUAGGGCCUUUGAAGUGAGGUUAGAUUCGGCUUACCUCUCCCUUAGGAAUGAUUUUAAAAACAGGCCCUCUAGUAACGUCUACUUGAGGGAUACCAAACAUGGAGGCCCGUGAGGUACAGGGUGAGCAGACUAUAGUGAGAUAAGCCUAUUUGGGGGACUUAUCCUAAGGUUCCCCCAUUUCUCUUCUAGACAUAGCUGUCAUCUGCCUCCACAGUAGGGAUAGUCUUUUAUUCUUUUUUCCUUUCUUAUUUCCCCUCUCUUCCUUCUUCCCUG